This 1572-nucleotide long non-coding RNA is filed under the name Ursus americanus (American black bear). RNAcentral describes it as "lncRNA (ENSUAMG00000004386.1)". The record is from RNAcentral. Lineage: Eukaryota; Metazoa; Chordata; Mammalia; Carnivora; Ursidae.
AUGGGCCCGGCGCUGAGAGCGUACGUUGUCCGCCGUCGGUGGGCAGAGGCUGGCGGUGCCGCUCCUGCUGGCAGAAGAGCAGGCGGGCCCAGGGGACUCGCAGCUUGUCGCUGCUGCGGUCGGUGGCAGAGCCGCAGCCAGACCUUUCGAUCAGCCUCUGGAGCUGCCCUGGAGCCCUCCACCCCUCCCCCGCUCCCAGGCUCCUGCCCUGCGCAGCCCCAGACACAGCUUUUACCGGGGAGUGCGGCCUCCAGGUGCCUGGACUCUGGGCCGUCCAAGGCCAGUUCCGAGGCUGGGUCACUGCAGUGCAGGAAUGCGUCUCCCUGUGGCCGGUGUGGUGCGGACGGGGGCAGGGGGCGGUUCCUGAGGAGAACCAGAGCCUCUGGGCCGUGGGCCCCGACCGCCCUCCGCUGCAAAGCCAUCUCUGGUCCGCAGGUGAGCGGAUUUAAAGUCUGCCGCAAGGGCUUGCGAACAAAGAGAAUUCUCUUCCAAGAAUGUCUCUGUGAUGCUGUUUGGUCUCUAGAAAUAGAAUCACUUUUUUACCGCAAUAAAGAAAGAGUAAUAAUAGGUGGUCUUACACAUCGGGUGUUAAGAGUGCUGGUCUCGUGUACCCUGCGGAGGUCUGGGGGGCUGGGUGCCUCCUCCUGUCCUCUCAGCCGGCACNCCUUCGAAGCCUGCACCCGUCCCUCGGUCUCCCUGGGUUGUUUCCAGUGGGCAGUGCUCAGGAAGACCAAGGGAAGCGUCGGGAGCCUGGGUGGCUGCACAGGGGCAGGUCAAGUGGAAAGGAAGGAGAGGGGAUCGGUCCUGGAGGAGCAUUGGUCCUGGAGCCCACCGGAGGGGGUAGGCUGGGCGUGGCUGGGCUUCCCCAGAUAUGGGGGUGCAGGAGAGGUGAGGACGUGCCCGGACCAGGCCAGGAGAGUGGCCGCUGUAGUCAGGCCCCUCCAGGAGCGGGGAGGCCCGGAUGGCNGCUGCGGUCGGUGGCAGAGCCGCAGCCAGACCUUUCGAUCAGCCUCUGGAGCUGCCCUGGAGCCCUCCACCCCUCCCCCGCUCCCAGGCUCCUGCCCUGCGCAGCCCCAGACACAGCUUUUACCGGGGAGUGCGGCCUCCAGGUGCCUGGACUCUGGGCCGUCCAAGGCCAGUUCCGAGGCUGGGUCACUGCAGUGCAGGAAUGCGUCUCCCUGUGGCCGGUGUGGUGCGGACGGGGGCAGGGGGCGGUUCCUGAGGAGAACCAGAGCCUCUGGGCCGUGGGCCCCGACCGCCCUCCGCUGCAAAGCCAUCUCUGGUCCGCAGGUGAGCGGAUUUAAAGUCUGCCGCAAGGGCUUGCGAACAAAGAGAAUUCUCUUCCAAGAAUGUCUCUGUGAUGCUGUUUGGUCUCUAGAAAUAGAAUCACUUUUUUACCGCAAUAAAGAAAGAGUAAUAAUAGGUGGUCUUACACAUCGGGUGUUAAGAGUGCUGGUCUCGUGUACCCUGCGGAGGUCUGGGGGGCUGGGUGCCUCCUCCUGUCCUCUCAGCCGGCACCAGCUCACCAGGCCGGGGAGCGGCAGAGCUGGGGUGCAAGCCGCAGCCUUCUGA